Chinchilla lanigera (long-tailed chinchilla) is the source of this 496-nucleotide long non-coding RNA. Ensembl lists it as uncharacterized. The record is from Ensembl. NCBI's taxonomy places the organism in Eukaryota, Metazoa, Chordata, Mammalia, Rodentia, Chinchillidae.
CAUGGAUGAGUUUAGGGGCCUUGCUGCAGCCCCCAGGAACCCCCUGGAAACGGUGUCACAUGCCAGUGGCCGUCCAUCUACACAGGGACAGAGCCAUUCUCCGUGAUCCUGGUCUCAGAUGGGGCUAGGUGGCUGGAGCAGAAGCUGUUGCUCAGAAAAGAAAGACCAGGCACUCCUGCCUGAAGCCCUGACCAAAAAUUUUUCUGUAUCGCUUUAAAGAGAGAGCCAUUCUGAAGCUUCUGUCAGGCCCUCUACUGUGUCCCCACCCUCAGGAAGAGCUACGUUGCUCCAAUCCUGGAGUGUAUGCUUGAGAGACCCUGAGAAUGUUCUGGAACAAGCCAGGGGCUGCCCAUCAUGGAGAAGAGGAAAGGAGGUGCCCAGCUGGAGGAACUCAUCCAAGCCCAGGGCGGGCACCAGGGCAGAGCUUCCAGGGCCCCCAGGCCUGGCACCUGGCGUGAGGAAUACUUAAAGGUUGCUGUUAGUCUCAUUGGCUGCC